UACCCGCAGCACAAGUGGUGGUCAUUAUUAUUGGGCCUAAAGCAUCCGUAGCCGGUUCUACAAGUCUUCCGUUAAAUCCACCUGCUUAACAGAUGGGCUGCGGAAGAUACUAUAGAGCUAGGAGGCGGGAGAGGCAAGCGGUACUCGAUGGGUAGGGGUAAAAUCCGUUGAUCCAUUGAAGACCACCAGUGGCGAAGGCGGCUUGCCAGAAUGCGCUCGACGGUGAGGGAUGAAAGCUGGGGGAGCAAACCGG
This 253-nucleotide ribosomal RNA is filed under the name uncultured bacterium. RNAcentral's name for it is "partial 16S ribosomal RNA". It matches the Rfam family "Archaeal small subunit ribosomal RNA", at positions 474 to 727 of the family's 1478-position model. The record is from RNAcentral.